Molecule: non-coding RNA, 83 nt
Organism: Ascodesmis nigricans
Lineage: Eukaryota; Fungi; Ascomycota; Pezizomycetes; Pezizales; Ascodesmidaceae
Source: the annotation of a GenBank genome assembly
GACUCCUUGGCGCAACGGUAGCGCGUUCGACUCCAGCGCGAGUUGUAAUCGAAAGGUUAUCCGUUCAAAUCGGGUAGGGGUCA